GAAUACGAUGAGUUGAAUGAGGCACGAUUACCAAUAGAAAGCUUACAGGAGCAAAUUCCAGGUACAAGACGACGAACGCUUUUGAGUUUGUUACACAAGCACAACUCAUCAGAUAGCUUUAAAGCUAUCGUCGUCUUGUACCUGUUUUGUGCCUUGGUGGCCGAAAGGCUGACUUCUUCGCCUGGUUUGCCAGGGAUGCUUUGGGAAAAUCCUGAGCUUUGUAGUCGGAAAAGACAAGCUACAUUAACGUGUUCCUCUCCCUCUUGUGCCUCUCUCCUUCCUCUCUUAACGCUCUCUCCUUUCCCUGAACACGUCUCCGCUCCCUCCUCUCUGUAGUAUCCUGGGUAUCACGGGAUCCAAAUUCACUGAUCAAUUCUUUUCUGGAAAAGACGUGAUACAACACUCUCUCCUUUCGUCCCUUCUCUCCCUUCUGUCCCUCCUCUCCCUCGUCUCCCUCUUCUUAAUUCUCUCCGUUCUCUCCCUCACGCUCUCCUCCAUCCUCGGCGAGUAGUCCUCGCAUUCCUUUUCCCUCCUCUCCCUCCUCUCAAUUCCCUCCCUCGUCUCCUUGUGGACGAUUUGCUGAUAAUGUUGCAGAUGAACUUCCCAUUAUUAAGGUUUAACUCCGUACACUUCUCUACCUGCAGUUCUUGGGUACAGCAUCCUAUAUUUUAUUACUAUUCCUUCUUAACUUAUUUCCCUUCUUUGCUUGCCGCUUCACGUUGCCAUUUCUUCAUGCGAACUUUGCAACCGCCUUAUGCUCGGCCAGUACUUCACACUGUACAUCUUCCUAACUUCUGCGCUUUGCAUUUCACCAUGUUUUCUCUCUUAUUCAAUAACACCACGCUUCGGCCCCGGCCGCAGCGCCUUCUGUUACGGCGUUCCUGCCGGAUUGUGCAAAGAGUACAGGUGGCCUGCGAUAUUCUGACUCACUUCAGCUUUACGACGGUCGCACAAAUCGAAAUGUGCAUGAAAGUUACAUCUAAUUCGUACGAAACCUUGCUUUAAGAGUCUGUUGCACGGAUAAAAAGUCAGUUUCUUUGUUGGAGGGCCUCGAGCAGACAUCGGCAAACGGAGUUUUUCUGGUCUCUUGAACGGAUCUAUUUCUAGCCCCGAAGUUACGACAUGGUCACACACGUAUAUCGAAAGCUCGUCAACUAACUUCAUAACAUUACACGUCCAGUACAAUGGACCGCGAUCUUUGACAUUGACCGCAGACUUAGGUCGCCACCUUUCGUAUAACUUUCGUAUACGGGAAAUCCUAUUUCUGCAAGCCGGCCGGCUUGGGGAACUCUAUUUAUGUUUUCGGGAGUUUCGGUACGACCCGAAACUCCCGAAGCGUUUGCCGAUGUCUGCUCGCGAGUGCUAUUGACCGCGGCCGGAAGGACAUCAAAAAACCGCGUUUUGAAGAAAGGGUCGGUAUUAUGACUCACCCGAAAACAACACUUCUGUGCCUCAUUCCGCAAAUUCAAACACAUUUUUAUUGUAUCUUAAUCCGAGCAGGCUCGUCCAUUUUCUAUCAAACAUCUACGCCAACCGCUGACAGGAUGGCCUGGUAAAAGUAAUAAAAGGCCGAUUCGGCCUGCUGCACCGGCGGGCGGGGUCGACUCAGCUUCACCAGCCAGGACUGCGGAAACCGACACUCUAUCUAGUGCCGACUUGUCUCAGGUGUAAAACAUAUGUUCAAAUGUGAUCCACUCGAACAUGUCCAGCUUUUGACCGAAAUGGGACCGAGAUGAGACUUUUAACGUAACGCUGUGUAGACCGCUGUAAGGGACGUUUCUUACCGACUGUAAACGUUAUGAGCAAUACACAUGCAUGGAUUUAUCUUUGUAAGUAAAUAUAGCAGUGCAAGCAAGUCAAACAGAAACUGCAUUUGUACCCACCCGCUUACAGAAACUACAUGUGCACACCCUACAAAUCCAAUAACCAUCAUCAGCAAGUCACCCGCCCGUAACGUAAGACCUACCAUAAAGCAAGCAGAUCUUCGGAGGCCGCUUGUGUUGGAUUUCGUUGCCCUGCUGCUGGAUACCUACAUGUAUAAGGAAGCAUACAAUCAAACAAAGCGACACGAUGGCAAUAACGACAACACACGUCAUUUGGUGCGUGCGUGUGAUUGUGUUAUAUUUCCAGCAGGAAGCGCGCAUGGCUGGACAAACUACUCCUAGACAGCAGGAACAUACCUUUACACGCAGCCGCAGCCACCUUUUAACGACCACUUAUGCAAAAUGUGUCUGUUGACUUGCCGUAAAAGCCUGCAUGAGCUACGGACUAGCUUUUAAGGCCCGCAUGGAUUACGGCGGAAGUGUACGUGCGCUUAGGGUUUUCGGGUUGCGGUCUGGGUCCUGUGCUCGGCCAUUCCGAGAUACGGCCAAUGUGUGCUACCAGUUCGUGCUGAAGAUAUAAGGAAAAUUGCAUAAUAUUUUAUCCAUGCAGGAAAUAUUCAAACAAAUUAGAAAGUCUGAUGUUCUCAAGGA
This 2474-nucleotide long non-coding RNA is filed under the name Volvox carteri. RNAcentral's name for it is "long non-coding RNA (VCAR_LNC002916)". The record is from RNAcentral. Lineage: Eukaryota; Viridiplantae; Chlorophyta; Chlorophyceae; Chlamydomonadales; Volvocaceae.